GAGAGUAUAGCUCAGUGGUAGAGUGUGUGCUUAGCAUGCACAAGGUCCUGGGUUCAAUUCCCAAUACUUUCA
Molecule: transfer RNA, 72 nt
Filed under: Camelus bactrianus (Bactrian camel)
Lineage: Eukaryota; Metazoa; Chordata; Mammalia; Artiodactyla; Camelidae
Also listed under: 2 other names
Rfam family: tRNA
About the family: Transfer RNA (tRNA) molecules are approximately 80 nucleotides in length. Their secondary structure includes four short double-helical elements and three loops (D, anti-codon, and T loops).
Source: Rfam by way of RNAcentral